Molecule: ribosomal RNA, 880 nt
Filed under: Nothophoma pruni
Lineage: Eukaryota; Fungi; Ascomycota; Dothideomycetes; Pleosporales; Didymellaceae
Description: LSU rRNA
Rfam family: Eukaryotic large subunit ribosomal RNA
Source: RNAcentral
ACAGGGAUUGCCCUAGUAACGGCGAGUGAAGCGGCAACAGCUCAAAUUUGAAAUCUGGCGUCUUUGGCGUCCGAGUUGUAAUUUGCAGAGGGCGCUUUGGCAUUGGCAGCGGUCCAAGUUCCUUGGAACAGGACGUCACAGAGGGUGAGAAUCCCGUACGUGGUCGCUAGCCUUUACCGUGUAAAGCCCCUUCGACGAGUCGAGUUGUUUGGGAAUGCAGCUCUAAAUGGGAGGUAAAUUUCUUCUAAAGCUAAAUACUGGCCAGAGACCGAUAGCGCACAAGUAGAGUGAUCGAAAGAUGAAAAGCACUUUGGAAAGAGAGUUAAAAAGCACGUGAAAUUGUUGAAAGGGAAGCGCUUGCAGCCAGACUUGCCUGUAGUUGCUCAUCCGGGUUUCUACCCGGUGCACUCUUCUAUAGGCAGGCCAGCAUCAGUUUGGGCGGUUGGAUAAAGGUCUCUGUCAUGUACCUCCUUUCGGGGAGAACUUAUAGGGGAGACGACAUGCAACCAGCCUGGACUGAGGUCCGCGCAUCUGCUAGGAUGCUGGCGUAAUGGCUGUAAGCGGCCCGUCUUGAAACACGGACCAAGGAGUCUAACAUCUAUGCGAGUGUUUGGGUGUCAAGCCCGAGCGCGUAAUGAAAGUGAACGGAGGUGGGAACCUUUCGGGGUGCACCAUCGACCGAUCCUGAUGUCUUCGGAUGGAUUUGAGUAAGAGCAUAGCUGUUGGGACCCGAAAGAUGGUGAACUAUGCUUGAAUAGGGUGAAGCCAGAGGAAACUCUGGUGGAGGCUCGCAGCGGUUCUGACGUGCAAAUCGAUCGUCAAAUUUGGGCAUAGGGGCGAAAGACUAAUCGAACUAUCUAGUAGCUGGUUCCUGCCGAGU